AUUGAACGCUGGCGGCAGGCCUAACACAUGCAAGUCGAGCGGAUGAAGGGAGCUUGCUCCUGGAUUCAGCGGCGGACGGGUGAGUAAUGCCUAGGAAUCUGCCUGGUAGUGGGGGAUAACGUCCGGAAACGGGCGCUAAUACCGCAUACGUCCUGAGGGAGAAAGUGGGGGAUCUUCGGACCUCACGCUAUCAGAUGAGCCUAGGUCGGAUUAGCUAGUUGGUGGGGUAAAGGCCUACCAAGGCGACGAUCCGUAACUGGUCUGAGAGGAUGAUCAGUCACACUGGAACUGAGACACGGUCCAGACUCCUACGGGAGGCAGCAGUGGGGAAUAUUGGACAAUGGGCGAAAGCAUGAUCCAGCCAUGCCGCGUGUGUGAAGAAGGUCUUCGGAUUGUAAAGCACUUUAAGUUGGGAGGAAGGGCAGUAAGUUAAUACCUAGCUGUUUUGACGUUACCAACAGAAUAAGCACCGGCUAACUUCGUG
Molecule: ribosomal RNA, 484 nt
Filed under: uncultured bacterium
Lineage: Bacteria
Description: partial 16S ribosomal RNA
Rfam family: Bacterial small subunit ribosomal RNA
Source: RNAcentral